UUAUUGGGCGUAAGCGCGCGCAGGUGGUUUCUUAAGUCUGAUGUGAAAGCCCACGGCUCAACCGUGGAGGGUCAUUGGAAACUGGGAGACUUGAGUGCACAAGAGGAAAGUGGAAUUCCAUGUGUAGCGGUGAAAUGCGUAGAGAUAUGGAGGAACACCAGUGGCGAAGGCGACUUUCUGGUCUGUAACUGACACUGAGGCGCGAAAGCGUGGGGAGCAAACAGGAUUAGAUACCCUGGUAGUCCACGCCGUAAACGAUGAGUGCUAAGUGUUAGAGGGUUUCCGCCCUUUAUUGCUGAACUUAACGCAUUAAGCACCCCGCCUGGGGGGCACGGC
RNAcentral lists this ribosomal RNA (336 nucleotides) under Bacillus cereus. RNAcentral's name for it is "bacterial SSU rRNA". It matches the Rfam family "Bacterial small subunit ribosomal RNA", at positions 551 to 886 of the family's 1533-position model. Lineage: Bacteria; Bacillati; Bacillota; Bacilli; Caryophanales; Bacillaceae. The record is from RNAcentral.